RNAcentral lists this ribosomal RNA (1149 nucleotides) under Triticum aestivum (bread wheat). RNAcentral's name for it is "partial small subunit ribosomal RNA". The record is from RNAcentral. Lineage: Eukaryota; Viridiplantae; Streptophyta; Magnoliopsida; Poales; Poaceae.
AUGGCCACGUGCCUCUCUGACCUAAUAAGUGACCAUUCCCUUGAUUUCCUGGGUCUACAGGAAACCAUGAAGAAACAUUUCUCCCCUAAAUGCUUGAGGAAAAUUGAUCCUUUUAAUAUUUUUGAGUCGGUCUGGAUCCCCUCACGUGGCAAAUCAGGUGGUAUCAUCGCAGGAGCUAGAAUGGAUAAUUUGGACUUAAGGUCUAGUAAGAAAGGAAAGUUCAUGAUCUAGCUUGAUCUAAAAGAUAGGAAGAAUAAAUCUGAAUGGAGUAUUCUAGUGGUGUAUGGCCCAGCUCAUGAGCAUAUGAGGGAGGAGUUCCUUCUGGAACUUGCUCAAUUUUGUUCUGAUAUGAACAAACCCUACAUAGUUGGGGGAGACUUUAACAUCUUGAGGCAUGGUGGAGAGAAAAAUAAAAAAUUACAUGACCAUAAAUCUAUUGACAUGUUCAACUCUGUCAUUAAUUCAUAUGGCCUGAGGGAGAUUUAUUAUAGUGGAGGGAAAUAUACUAGGACAAAUAACCAUACCCCCACCUUGGAAAAGAUAGACAGGAUUCUGAUGUCUUGUGACUGGGAAAGCUUGUACCCAUUGGUAACUGUUAGAAAGCUGGUUAGAGAGUUAUCUGACUGUUGGGGGUUGGGUGCGACAUAUGCCAAUGGAUGGCUUAUCAUGGUGGGAGCGAGUAGAACGUCGCCGGUGCCUGGAAGUGGGAUGAGGCGUAGGCACGUACGCCAGCGUACUUUACCCAGGUUCAGGGCUCUCCUAGGAGAUAACACCCCUAGUCCUGCUCUGCGGGGUCUAUGCAUGAUCACUAAAGCACUAGUGAGUACAACGGUGAUCCUCGAGCUGUAUGCUAGAGGUAGAAGAAGGCAAGGCUUGCUGUCCUCUCCCCCUAGGUGUGAGUCUAAUUCUAACAGGUUCCAACCCAUUUGCAUGGGCGCCCUGGGGGCUUUAUAUAGGCCUACCCCCCAGGGGCACAGUGGUAACUUGGUCGGGUGUGGGACCCGUCUGUCAGUAUCUCUGGUCGCUGGCUUCUCCGCCGACUGCCGUGCCCCACCGCCUGGUGGGCCCUACCGGCUGGUCUGGUAUGGAGCCGACAGGCUGCCCCUGCCACUCAUGGGUCUUGCCGGCUGUGGAUUACUGUGGCCGUGA